UUGUGCAUUUAAAUGUGCACAGCACAUACACCACAGUCUUGAACAGCACCUGUAUAAAACUACAGACAGAUUCUGGUAAAUGGUGAAAACUCAUACCAUGUAACAUUGUCAUCUAGGUUUUAUCACAAUAUUUCAAAGUUACAACAACCACCUCUGAACGUAUCUUAUGCGAGGCUCUCAGUUGUGGAUUUUGAUGGCGUGAAAAGUGACAAAGAACCAUUCCCAGGGAAACUCUUUGCGAUUUUGCUGUCUGAAUCCUAGAACAAAACCAUCUGUUAGCAGAGGUAGCAGUGAUAAUUACAUAAUGAUUGCUCACAUACAGAACACAUAGGAAGUAGAGAAAUCCCCCAAAUUACAGAAAAAAAAAAAACAACCUUGGGUGUGACAUCUCUGGGGUGCUCUCCCCGAUUUGGCUUCCUGUUUUUAAACUGUAUUUUUGCUUUGGCAGCAGCUGGCUUAAGGUGUGGUCCUGGUCUGCUCUGGUCUCACUGAACUUUGAUCUUAUAAUUACAAGCCUGGACCCUGAAGGUGCUGAACUCUCAUGGGAGCUCUCCAAUCAAGAGUACUAACAAGGAGCGAUCAAUAGGGGAGAUUUCCAGCAGACCUACAGAAGAGACACAGGAAUCAGGGGUACAAAGGGUUGUGCCUUGAGGGAGUGCAUGAUGUCAGUUCUGCACUCAUCCAGAGGUUCCUAUCCCCAGCGUGGCAUGGAUCCCCGUGCCCCAGCGCUGCUGUGGGUGGCCACAGAACCCCAGCCUCGUGCCUCACGUGCUGCCCCGUGCACCAUGCUGGGACCUCUCUUCUUUUAGCUAAGUAUCUAUUUUUACAUUGCCCCCAGGCAUCCUCCUCUGUAGCCAAGGUUAAAAUAAGCCAGAGUGUGCUUGGGGCGUACGAAACAUUUGUCAUCAUGCAGCUUAUAUCCCCCCCUUGGAUCUUAUUGUUUCAGUUGGAUAUCAGAGUCACGGGGCCAUGGGGUUAAGUCUCUAGCAGAUGCUUUUCAAGUCUGAGGGAGAGCUGGGCCCUGGUUGAGUUCUUCCCAGCCCCUACUCAAGGUGGGCGGCCCACAGGCCCGAGGACCCUCCAGAUGUUGAGGCAGCCCCUACACCUGAUGCCUGCUGGUUGCGAGGGGACAGCGCGGCGCCGGGCAGCGCGACCCGCGGGGUGGCCGCACGGAGCGCUCUAUGAGCUCCGCCGCCGUCCCGUUCCCCCGGGCGCAGGACGCCCUCGGGGCAGCCGGCGCGGGCGGACUUUUCUAGGCGGCGAGAGGUCUGCCCUAAACCCACCCUCCUUUUAACUAACACCGCUCUCCGGGUGAGGCGAGCC
Phasianus colchicus (ring-necked pheasant) is the source of this 1323-nucleotide long non-coding RNA. RefSeq lists it as uncharacterized. The record is from RefSeq and is a predicted model, not a curated record. Lineage: Eukaryota; Metazoa; Chordata; Aves; Galliformes; Phasianidae.